Long non-coding RNA from Cervus elaphus (red deer), 500 nucleotides. RefSeq lists it as uncharacterized. The transcript is spliced from 3 exons. NCBI's taxonomy places the organism in Eukaryota, Metazoa, Chordata, Mammalia, Artiodactyla, Cervidae. The record is from RefSeq and is a predicted model, not a curated record.
CGGGGCGGGUACCGGGAUGGGCUCUCGAGGACCCGGCCUGUCUUCGCCCCCUGGUGGUUUCCAGGGACAGUGCGGGAGCCCCUGUGCUACCUACUCUGCAAGGGAAGGUCAAGCCAUGGUACGCACGGCACCGAGGACAGAGCGGUGAACAAAACAGACAAGCCUAAUCCUCAUGAAGUCAACAUUCCAUGAGGUGGAGACAAGUAGUGACAUAAUAGGACUUCCCUGGUGGUCCAUUGGUUGAGAAUCUGCCUGCCAAUGAAAGGAACCCGGGUUUGAUCCUUGGUCCAGGAAGAUUCCACAUGCCACGGGGCAACUAAGCCUGUGUGCUGCAACUGCUAAAACCCGCAUGCCCUUAGAGGCUGUGCCCUGAAACAAGAGAAGCCACUGCAAUGAGAAGCCCGUGCACCGCAGCGAGAGAGUAUGCCAUACUUGCCGCAACUAGACAAAAGCCCAUGAGCAGCAACAAAGACCCAGUGCAGCCAUAAAUAAAUAAAUAA